AACGAUGGAUGCCCGCUGUUGGUCUGAAUAGGUCAGCGGCCAAGCGAAAGCAUUAAGCAUCCCACCUGGGGAGUACGCCGGCAACGGUGAAACUCAAAGGAAUUGACGGGGGCCCGCACAAGCGGAGGAACAUGUGGUUUAAUUCGAUGAUACGCGAGGAACCUUACCCGGGCUUGAAUUGCAGAGGAAGGAUUUGGAGACAAUGACGCCCUUCGGGGUCUCUGUGAAGGUGCUGCAUGGCUGUCGUCAG
This 250-nucleotide ribosomal RNA is filed under the name uncultured bacterium. Its description in RNAcentral is "partial 16S ribosomal RNA". It matches the Rfam family "Bacterial small subunit ribosomal RNA", at positions 805 to 1058 of the family's 1533-position model. The record is from RNAcentral.